UACGUAGGGGGCAAGCGUUGUCCGGAUUUAUUGGGCGUAAAGAGCGUGUAGGCGGCCUUACAGGUCAGCUGUGAAAACUCGAGGCUCAACCUCGAGACGUCGGUUGAAACCGUAUGGCUAGAGUCCGGAAGAGGAGAGUGGAAUUCCCGGUGUAGCGGUGAAAUGCGUAGAUAUCUGGAGGAACACCGGUGGCGAAGGCGGCAUCCUGGACCAACACUGACGCUGAUGAGCGAAAGCCAGGGGAGCAAACGGG
Molecule: ribosomal RNA, 253 nt
Filed under: uncultured bacterium
Lineage: Bacteria
Description: partial 16S ribosomal RNA
Rfam family: Bacterial small subunit ribosomal RNA
Source: RNAcentral